UGCGUAGGUGGUGAGGUAAGUCGGAUGUGAAAUCUCCGGGCUCAACCCGGAAAUGGCAUUGGAAACUACCUUGCUGGAGGAUUUGAGGGGGGAGUUGGAAUACUUGGUGUAGCAGUGAAAUGCGUAGACAUCAAGUGGAACACCAGUGGCGAAGGCGAAUCCCUGGAAAAUACCUGACACUGAGGCACGAAAGCUAGGGGAGCAAACA
RNAcentral lists this ribosomal RNA (208 nucleotides) under uncultured bacterium. RNAcentral's name for it is "partial 16S ribosomal RNA". It matches the Rfam family "Bacterial small subunit ribosomal RNA", at positions 568 to 774 of the family's 1533-position model. The record is from RNAcentral.